AAGACUUUAAGUUAUUAAAAACUCUAGGCCUUCAAAGCCUGAAAUGGGUUAUCAAGCCCAAGUCUUG
RNAcentral lists this transfer RNA (67 nucleotides) under Koreoleptoxis nodifila. RNAcentral's name for it is "tRNA-Trp". Lineage: Eukaryota; Metazoa; Mollusca; Gastropoda; Pleuroceridae. The record is from RNAcentral.